AUGCGCUUUAGGAGGGNCNUGCGGCCUAUCAGCUAGUUGGUGGGGUAACAGCCUACCAAGGCGACGACGGGUAGCUGAUCUGAGAGGAUGGUCAGCCACAGGGGAACUGAGACACGGUCCCCACUCCUACGGGAGGCAGCAGUGAGGAAUAUUGGGCAAUGGGCGCAAGCCUGACCCAGCAAUGCCGCGUGCGGGAUGACGGCCUUCGGGUUGUAAACCGCUUUUGUGGGGGAGUAGCAAGGAGAGUACCCCACGAAUAAGUCACGGCUAACUACGUGCCAGCAGCCGCGGUAAUACGUAGGUGACAAAUGUUAUCCGGAAUUACUGGGCGUAAAGGGUCUGUAGGCGGACGUUUAGGUCUGGUGUGACAUCUCGCGGCUCAACUGCGAGCGAGCGCCGGAAACCGGACGACUAGAAUCACGUCGAGGUCGGUGGAAUUCCCGGUGUAGUGGUGGAGUGCGUAGAGAUCGGGAGGAACCUCGAAAGCGAAGGCAGCCGGCUAGACGAUGAUUGACGCUGAGGGACGAUAGCGUGGGUAGCAAACAGGAUUAGAUACCCUGGUAGUCCACGCCGUAAACGAUGUAUGCUCGGUGUGUGCGGGUAAAACCGUGCGCGCCUCAGCCAACGCGAUAAGCAUACCGCCUGGGGAGUACGGCCGCAAGGCUAAAACUCAAAGGAAUUGACGGGGACCCGCACAAGCAGCGGAGCGUGUGGUUUAAUUCGAUGCGACGCGA
Molecule: ribosomal RNA, 734 nt
Filed under: uncultured bacterium
Lineage: Bacteria
Description: bacterial SSU rRNA
Rfam family: Bacterial small subunit ribosomal RNA
Source: RNAcentral